RNAcentral lists this ribosomal RNA (1943 nucleotides) under human metagenome. RNAcentral describes it as "bacterial LSU rRNA". It matches the Rfam family "Bacterial large subunit ribosomal RNA", at positions 3 to 1977 of the family's 2925-position model. The record is from RNAcentral.
UCAAGUGAAUAAGAGCAUAAGGCGGAUGCCUUGGCACUGGGAGCCGACGAAGGACGUGACAAGCUGCGAUAAGCUACGGGGAGGAGCACAUAUCCGUCAAUCCGUAGAUUUCCGAAUGGGGGAACCCACCUAUAGUAAUGUGUAGGUAUUUUCGUAUGAAUCUAUAGUACGAAUAAAGGCAACCCGGGGAACUGAAACAUCUAAGUACCCGGAGGAAGAGAAAGAAAAAUCGAUUUCCUAAGUAGCGGCGAGCGAAAGGGAAAGAGGCCAAACCGUUAGUUUACUAACGGGGUUGUGGAUCACAGCCGUGGUAGAUACAAGUUUAGCAGAAGACAACUGGAAAGUUUGCGACACAGAGGGUAAUAUCCCCGUAUGCGAAAAAUGAGUAUCACCUAUGUGACACCAGAGUAGGACCGAACACGUGGAAUUCGGUUUGAAGCCGGGGGGCCCACCCCCCAAGCCUAAAUACUACCCAGUGACCGAUAGUGAAUAGUACCGUGAGGGAAAGGUGAAAAGGACCCCGGGAGGGGAGUGAAAUAGAACCUGAAACCUUAUGCUUACAAGCAGAGGGAGCGCAAGUGACCUCGUACUUUUUGUAGAACGGGCCAACGAGUUAUGGUAUGCAGCGAGGUUAAGGUGCUGGAGCACUGGAGCCGUAGAGAAAUCGAGUCUGAAAGGGCGAAAGUUGCAUGCUGUAGACCCGAAACCGGGUGAUCUAUCCAUGUCCAGGUUGAAGUAACUGUAAUAGGUUAUGGAGGACCGAACUUAUAUCUGUUGAAAAAGGUUAGGAUGAGGUGUGGAUAGGGGUGAAAUUCCAAUCGAACUCGGAUAUAGCUGGUUCUCCUCGAAAUAGCUUUAGGGCUAGCCUCGUAGUAAGAUACCUGGGGGUAGAGCACUGAAUGUUCUAGGGGCCUUCACCGGUUACCGAAAACUAUCAAACUCCGAAUACCAGAGUAUCAUCUACGGGAGUCAGACUAUGUGAGAUAAGUUUCAUAGUCGAAAGGGAAACAGCCCAGACCGUCAGCUAAGGUCCCAAAAUAUAGGUUAAGUGGAAAAGGAUGUGGGGUUGCACAGACAGCUAGGAUGUUGGCUUAGAAGCAGCCAUUCAUUCAAAGAGUGCGUAAUAGCUCACUAGUCGAGUGACCCUGCGCCGAAGAUAAACGGGGCUAAAACCUAUUACCGAAGCUACGGAUACUUAAUGUAUGGUAGAGGAGCGUCGUAUACGGGUUGAAGCAGUAUUGUAAGGUAUUGUGGACUUUAUACGAGAGAGAAUGUUGGCAUGAGUAGCGCGAGGCAGGUGAGAAUCCUGCCCACCGAAAAUCUAAGGUUUCCUGAGGAAGGUUCGUCCACUCAGGGUUAGUCGGGGCCUAAGCCGAGGGCGAAAGCCAUAGGCGAUGGAUAACAGGUAGAAAUUCCUGUACCACCGAAGGUUGUUUGAAUGAUGUGGGGACACAGGAGGAUAAGCUGAGCACGCCGUUGGUAGAGCGUGUCCAAGCGUCAAGGGAGUAUGAAUAGGCAAAUCCGUUCAUAUAUAUUCUGAGGCGUGAUGGGGUGGUCAAUAGACCGGAAGCAGCUGAUUUCACACUGUCAAGAAAAGCCGCUAAUUAGACCUAAGGUGCCCGUACCGCAAACCGACACAGGUAGAUGAGGAGAGAAUCCUAAGGUGAGCGAGCGAACUAUUGUUAAGGAACUCGGCAAAAUAACCCCGUAACUUCGGGAGAAGGGGUGCCUGCUUCGGCAGGCCGCAGUGAAAAGGCCCAGGCAACUGUUUACCAAAAACACAGGUCUCUGCAAAAGCGAAAGCUGAAGUAUAGGGGCUGACGCCUGCCCGGUGCUGGAAGGUUAAGGGGACGUGUCAUCGCAAGAGAAGCACUGAACUUAAGCCCCAGUAAACGGCGGCCGUAACUAUAACGGUCCUAAGGUAGCGAAAUUCCUUGUCGGGU